GGUAUGAGCUUUUGUGUGCAUGCACACUUCUUCAGAUACACCGAAACAGAAGUAUCUGAAGAAGUGUGCAUGCACACAAAAGCUCAUACC
Non-coding RNA from Podarcis lilfordi (Lilford's wall lizard), 90 nucleotides. The record is from the annotation of a GenBank genome assembly. Lineage: Eukaryota; Metazoa; Chordata; Lepidosauria; Squamata; Lacertidae.